RNAcentral lists this microRNA (21 nucleotides) under Marchantia polymorpha subsp. ruderalis. Lineage: Eukaryota; Viridiplantae; Streptophyta; Marchantiopsida; Marchantiales; Marchantiaceae. The record is from RNAcentral.
ACGGACCGGAGCUCGUGUGUC